CAAGAAUAUCUCUCGCUCACCAAAUGGGAAAAAAGUAGUCCUCUGGACGAGGGAGGCAGACCGUGUAAUACUGACCACCUGUCAGCAGAGAGGAGCCAAGCCGGCCAUGUUUCAUGCCAUUGCAGCUCAGCUUGGCAACAAAACAGCCAACGUGGUUUUGGAGCGCUUUCAAGACCUCAUUAAGUUGUUCCACAAAUCCAGCA
Long non-coding RNA from Sinocyclocheilus rhinocerous, 203 nucleotides. RefSeq lists it as uncharacterized. The record is from RefSeq and is a predicted model, not a curated record. Lineage: Eukaryota; Metazoa; Chordata; Actinopteri; Cypriniformes; Cyprinidae. The transcript has 3 exons.